RNAcentral lists this ribosomal RNA (421 nucleotides) under uncultured bacterium. Its description in RNAcentral is "bacterial SSU rRNA". It matches the Rfam family "Bacterial small subunit ribosomal RNA", at positions 355 to 774 of the family's 1533-position model. The record is from RNAcentral.
UAAGGAAUAUUGGUCAAUGGACGCAAGUCUGAACCAGCCAUGCCGCGUGAAGGAUGAAGGUCCUCUGGAUUGUAAACUUCUUUUAUCUGGGAUGAAAACGGGAUUUUUAUCUCAAUUGACGGUACCAGAGGAAUAAGCACCGGCUAACUCCGUGCCAGCAGCCGCGGUAAUACGGAGGGUGCGAGCGUUAUCCGGAUUUACUGGGUUUAAAGGGUGCGUAGGUGGGCUUAUAAGUCAGUGGUGAAAUCUCCGAGCUUAACUUGGAAACUGCCGUUGAUACUAUAGGUCUUGAAUUAUCUGGAGNUAAGCGGAAUAUGUCAUGUAGCGGUGGAAUGCUUAGAUAUGACAUAGAACACCAAUUGCGAAGGCAGCUUACUACAUAUAAAUUGACGCUGAGGCACGAAAGCGUGGGGAUCAAACA